GUUAAGACAUCCAAACCAAAUAAAAAUGCAGAAAAGAAUAAAUUAUCAAAAGAGCGAAUAGAUUGGUAAGAAAUACAGUGAAGAACGUAAAGUGUACAGAUCAAAUUUUAUAAGUGAGCGCAAGAUGCUUUAGAGUGGUUAAAUGAGUAUUCAAAUAAAACAAAUACUCAAUGGAUUAUUAAGAAUGCGGUUUAUAAUCCCCAAAGUAGUGUUUCAUAAGUAUUUUGUUUGUCAACAUGCCUCAAGAAAUAAAAGGAAAAGGGAUUCAGAAAGGAACAGUGGAUGUACAUCUACAAUUGAUAUAAAUUUAAAAAAAUAAUAAAGCAACACGGAAAAAUGAUCAAUUUUUAAAAGAAAACCAACCUUUGGCAGGGUUCAUUAAAAUAAAAAUUAAUCAUAAUCAUGCAGUUGAUACUUAGUGGAUCUCUUAAACUAUUAAGAAUAGAUGACCAAAUUUAAGACCAAUACUAUGGGUAUUUUGAAGAUGGACUAGGAGUUAGUGAGAGUAUUAGGCAGUUUCAAAAUAAGAAUCUUUUAAGCAUUCUUUCUUCAGAUUUGCCAGAGUGCUAGACUAAAUCCAACUUAUAAUAUGGUCAAAAAUCUUUAUAACAGAUGGAGAAAUGAUAAUUUUGGAAAUGUUUUGGAUCGUGUUAAAAGAUUAAAGGAGAAAAUAACAUAUUACACCGAAAAAAGUAUAAUAAUUCAUACAACAGAUGAAGAUCAACAUCCUUGGGCAACUUUGGUGGUUACGCGUAUAAUGAAGAGGUGUCAAGAACUGCUUUACUCUAGAGAAGUUAUUUUUAUAGAUACCACUUGCAGUGUAGAUGCUAAUCAUUCUUCUCUAUCAUUUUGACAGCUUCUAAAGCUGGUGCUCUUCCCGUAUGUACGCUAGUUCAUGAGGGGCAAACCAAAGAAAGUUAUACAAAAGCUUUUCUAUUACUGAAAAGCUUUAACAACAAACCUUUUGGUAGAUGUGAGCAUCCUAUAGCUUUCAUGACCGACCACUCAGCUGCAGAAAAAAAUACAUUGAAAACGGUCUGGCCAGGGUCACAACAAUUGCUAUGCCAUUUUCAUGUGGCCCAGGCAAAAUGGUGUUGGUUAAUGUCCGCUAAAAAUGAAAUUCCUGGAGAUAUAAGGCAAACUUACAUGAAGGCCUUUAAAAAAGUACUAUAUUAUAUCAUAUUUCAACUUGUCACCAAAUAAGUUUUCCUAUGACUACCAGUUUUCAUCAAAAUGGAAACUGUUUGAUUUAUUAUUAUCAUAUUGAUCAUUUUAAUUACAAAAAAACCUAAAAAAAGGCCUUUUCAUAAAAGUACAAAAGAAUGAGUAAUAUCAUGAAGCAAA
Molecule: long non-coding RNA, 1344 nt
Organism: Anthonomus grandis grandis
Lineage: Eukaryota; Metazoa; Arthropoda; Insecta; Coleoptera; Curculionidae
Exons: 5
Source: RefSeq, a predicted model, not a curated record